RNAcentral lists this ribosomal RNA (253 nucleotides) under uncultured bacterium. RNAcentral's name for it is "partial 16S ribosomal RNA". It matches the Rfam family "Bacterial small subunit ribosomal RNA", at positions 524 to 776 of the family's 1533-position model. The record is from RNAcentral.
UACGUAGGGUGCGAGCGUUGUCCGGAAUUAUUGGGCGUAAAGAGCUCGUAGGCGGCGCGGUAAGUCGGGUGUGAAAUCUUGGAGCUUAACUCCGAAACUGCAUUCGAUACUGCCGUGCUUGAGGACUGGAGAGGAGACUGGAAUUUACGGUGUAGCGGUGAAAUGCGUAGAUAUCGUAAGGAAGACCAGUGGCGAAGGCGGGUCUCUGGACAGUUCCUGACGCUGAAGCACGAAGGCCAGGGGAGCAAACGGG